CAGGUGGAGCGAUCUGUCGCCCGAAAGGGAGGAAAGUCCGGACAGGACAGGGCAUCCCGCUGCGGAAAGCGCAGGCAGGGGCAACCUUACGCCAGCCGUAACAGAAAACAACCGCCCGCCCGGAUCCGCCGGUUCCGGCGGAUGACAAAACGGGACGGGCAAGGGUGAAAACGCGGGGCAAGAGCCCACGACGUCCGUCAGCGAUGCCGGACGGGUACGGCACCGGGACCUGCAAGACCAAAUAUACUGGCAGACGAGGGCGGCCCGCCCGAUGCCAGGGGGUAGGUUGCGAAGAUAAAUGACAGAGAAUCAGUGAACAGAAACCGGCUUACGGCUCCACCUUUUCU
This 347-nucleotide RNase P RNA is filed under the name Bacteroidales bacterium. RNAcentral describes it as "RNase P RNA component class A". It matches the Rfam family "Bacterial RNase P class A". From Rfam's summary of the family: Ribonuclease P (RNase P) is a ubiquitous endoribonuclease, found in archaea, bacteria and eukarya as well as chloroplasts and mitochondria. Its best characterised activity is the generation of mature 5'-ends of tRNAs by cleaving the 5'-leader elements of precursor-tRNAs. Cellular RNase Ps are ribonucleoproteins. The record is from RNAcentral. Lineage: Bacteria; Pseudomonadati; Bacteroidota; Bacteroidia; Bacteroidales.